CACAUCCCCGAGCUCCAUGGGCCAGACCACGCUGGAAAACACUACCGAUCAAUAGUAAACAAAGCCCUGACCCAAGCCCAGUAAAAUGCUAAAUAUCUGAGACUGCAAAACACCAUUAUCAGCAAUUUCCCCUCACACUUUAGGAACUGCUAAAUAAAUGUAUGCACGCCCCCCUCCCCUUUCCUAUUAUGUAACAAAUGUACAUAAGCCACUUCCACUGCUGGGGAACAGAAAAGGCAGGUGCCCACAGAGGUCACCUUCUUUGCUUCUGUUCAUGGAGUCCUUGGCUUUUUAUUUUUGA
Molecule: long non-coding RNA, 301 nt
Filed under: Bos taurus (domestic cattle)
Lineage: Eukaryota; Metazoa; Chordata; Mammalia; Artiodactyla; Bovidae
Description: long non-coding RNA NONBTAT025981
Source: RNAcentral